AAGAUAGAGGUGCGAGGAUCAAAAGUAACACACCCGAGGCUGCGGUAAGCCCGUGACGGUGUGCCAAAGGGGUCUUUGCCGAAGCCGGAUUCCACCGUGGUUGCACCGGCUGGGCGUGCGGACAACAUCCGUUCGACUGUCGCGGAAGCGGAGAGCUAUCGG
RNAcentral lists this non-coding RNA (162 nucleotides) under pig gut metagenome. RNAcentral describes it as "Lysine riboswitch". It matches the Rfam family "Lysine riboswitch aptamer". From Rfam's summary of the family: Riboswitches are metabolite binding domains within certain messenger RNAs that serve as precision sensors for their corresponding targets. Allosteric rearrangement of mRNA structure is mediated by ligand binding, and this results in modulation of gene expression. The record is from RNAcentral.